AAUGGGCAAAACUGUCGAAAGGCAGUGACGCAAAGCCAAAUGGGUCUAAGGCUCUCAGGAGCUAUGACAGCCGGUUGCC
This 79-nucleotide non-coding RNA is filed under the name human gut metagenome. Its description in RNAcentral is "Cyclic di-GMP-I riboswitch". It matches the Rfam family "c-di-GMP-I riboswitch aptamer", at positions 7 to 84 of the family's 87-position model. Rfam says of the family: GEMM was predicted in a large-scale screen for bacterial structured RNA regulatory elements. The record is from RNAcentral.